This 256-nucleotide ribosomal RNA is filed under the name uncultured bacterium. Its description in RNAcentral is "partial 16S ribosomal RNA". It matches the Rfam family "Bacterial small subunit ribosomal RNA", at positions 524 to 776 of the family's 1533-position model. The record is from RNAcentral.
UACGUAGGGGUCCGAGCGUUGUCCGGAAUUACUGGGCGUAAAGAGCUCGUAGGUGGUUUGUCGCGUUGUUCGUGAAAACUCACAGCUCAACUGUGGGCGUGCGGGCGAUACGGGGCAGACUAGAGUACUGCAGGGGAGACUGGAAUUCCUGGUGUAGCGGUGGAAUGCGCAGAUAUCAGGAGGAACACCGGUGGCGAAGGCGGGUCUCUGGGCAGUAACUGACGCUGAGGAGCGAAAAGCGUGGGGAGCGAACAGG